Molecule: ribosomal RNA, 737 nt
Filed under: uncultured Acidobacteriota bacterium
Lineage: Bacteria; Pseudomonadati; Acidobacteriota
Description: bacterial SSU rRNA
Rfam family: Bacterial small subunit ribosomal RNA
Source: RNAcentral
CUGGUGAGUAACACGUGGGUAAUCUACCUGUUGAUGGGGAAUAACCCUGGGAAACCGGGGCUAAUACCGCAUAAGCCCGAGAGGGGAAAGAAGCAAUUCGUCGACAGAGGAGCCCGCGGCUGAUUAGCUAGUUGGUGGGGUAAAAGCCCACCAAGGCUUCGAUCGGUAGCCGGCCUGAGAGGGCACACGGCCACACUGGCACUGAAACACGGGCCAGACUCCUACGGGAGGCAGCAGUGGGGAAUCUUGCACAAUGGGGGAAACCCUGAUGCAGCGACGCCGCGUGAGCGAUGAAGGCCUUCGGGUUGUAAAGCUCUUUCGGCAGGGACGAUUAUGACGGUACCUGAAGAAGAAGCUGCGGCUAACUACGUGCCAGCAGCCGCGGUAAUACGUAGGCAGCAAGCGUUGUUCGGAAUUACUGGGCGUAAAGAGUGCGUAGGCGGUGCCUUAAGUCCUGUGUGAAAUCUCCCGGCUUAACUGGGAGGGUGCGCCGGAUACUGAGGUGCUCGAGUGUGGGAAAGGCAGGCGGAAUUCCUGGUGUAGCGGUGAAAUGCGUAGAUAUCAGGAGGAACGCCGGCGGUGUAGACGGCCUGCUGGACCACUACUGACGCUGAGGCACGAAAGCGUGGGGAGCAAACAGGAUUAGAUACCCUGGUAGUCCACGCCCUAAACGAUGCAUACUUGGUGUAAGUCAUUCAUUUGAUUUGUGCCGGAGCUAACGCGUUAAGUAUGCCGCC